RNAcentral lists this ribosomal RNA (540 nucleotides) under uncultured bacterium. RNAcentral describes it as "bacterial SSU rRNA". It matches the Rfam family "Bacterial small subunit ribosomal RNA", at positions 355 to 896 of the family's 1533-position model. The record is from RNAcentral.
UAGGGAAUAUUGGUCAAUGGAUGCAAGUCUGAACCAGCCAUGCCGCGUGCAGGAAGAAGGCUCUAUGGGUUGUAAACUGCUUUUGUCAGGGGAUAAAAUGGGCUUGCGAGCCUAAUUGAAGGUACCUGGCGAAUAAGCCACGGCUAACUACGUGCCAGCAGCCGCGGUAAUACGUAGGUGGCAAGCGUUGUCCGGAUUUAUUGGGUUUAAAGGGUGCGUAGGCGGUCUUAUAAGUCAGUGCUGAAAUAUCCCGGCUUAACCGGGAGGGUGGCAUUGAUACUGUAGGACUUGAGUAAAGUUGAGGUUGGCGGAAUUGACGGUGUAGCGGUGAAAUGCUUAGAUAUCGUCAAGAACACCUAUAGCGAAGGCAGCUAACUAAGCUUUAACUGACGCUGAGGCACGAAAGUGUGGGGAUCAAACAGGAUUAGAUACCCUGGUAGUCCACACUGUAAACGUUGAUUACUCGCUGUUGGCGAUACACAGCCAGCGGCUUAGCGCAAGCGAUAAGUAAUCCACCUGGGGAGUACGCCGGCAACGGUG